AAGCCUAUUUCAAAUGGCGGCAUUUCAUCUUAUUAGAGGAACCUGUUUAUUAAUCGACAAUCCACGAUAAUUUUUACUCUAAUAAUAAAAUUUAUAUACCGCUGUCUAAAGAUUUAAUUUACUAACCCUUCUCUCAAUAUAUUUUAAAAAGAUAAGUCAAGGUGUAGUUAAAAUUUCAGUAUAUUAUGGGUUACUAUAAAAAUAAUUUAUGGAAAAAUUUCCAAAAACAAAUUUUAAAAUAGGAUUUAUAAGUAUUUAUAUAAUAAUAUUUUCUAUCGAAUAAGAUAAAAAAUGUGCACACAUCGCCG
RNAcentral lists this ribosomal RNA (308 nucleotides) under Pardosa flammula. RNAcentral describes it as "partial 12S ribosomal RNA". Lineage: Eukaryota; Metazoa; Arthropoda; Arachnida; Araneae; Lycosidae. The record is from RNAcentral.